This 413-nucleotide ribosomal RNA is filed under the name uncultured prokaryote. Its description in RNAcentral is "bacterial SSU rRNA". It matches the Rfam family "Bacterial small subunit ribosomal RNA", at positions 505 to 918 of the family's 1533-position model. The record is from RNAcentral.
GUGUCAGCCGCCGCGGUAAUACGGAGGGGGCUAGCGUUGUUCGGAAUUACUGGGCGUAAAGCGCGCGUAGGCGGUUUGCCAAGUCAGAGGUGAAAGCCCGGGGCUUAACCUCGGAAUUGCCUUUGAGACUGGCAGGCUUGAGUACGGGAGAGGUAAGUGGAAUUCCGAGUGUAGAGGUGAAAUUCGUAGAUAUUCGGAAGAACACCAGUGGCGAAGGCGGCUUACUGGACCGUUACUGACGCUGAGGCGCGAAAGCGUGGGGAGCAAACAGGAUUAGAUACCCUGGUAGUCCACGCCGUAAACGAUGGAUGCUAGCCGUUGGACAGCAUGCUGUUCAGUGGCGCAGCUAACGCAUUAAGCAUCCCGCCUGGGGAGUACGGCCGCAAGGUUAAAACUCAAAGGAAUUGACGGGG